GGUGGCUCAAUGGUAGAGCGCUUGCCUUGAUGCAUGAGGCCCUGGGUUCGAUUCCUUAGCACCA
Dipodomys ordii (Ord's kangaroo rat) is the source of this 64-nucleotide non-coding RNA. Lineage: Eukaryota; Metazoa; Chordata; Mammalia; Rodentia; Heteromyidae. The record is from Rfam.